AGCAUUCUGGAGAAAGCGAUUUGGUGGAACUUUUUAAUGGAUCAGACUCCCCAUUCCGGCUUCGUUUAAAUCUAUGGAAAAGACGAUUAAAAUUUGGUGGAGACAAGCCGGGUUAAAAAGCUAAGCUGGAAAAAGUGGUUUAUGUUGGGUGGUUUUCCUACUUCGUGCUGGAUACCAAAGGUGAGAAACUAGAAUCAUGUGCAAGCAACAUGUUACCUCUGUUCGCAUUAUUGCAUCCAUGGCGGAUUUUUCCUCUUUUCUUUGAAGAUGAUACAUUUCGUAUCUUGGGUUGGCAUUUGAGACUAUGAGUGCAACUGUCAUGGGUCGUCCCUAUGGUGCAAAGUUAUUAUAGAAGUUACCUUUCAAUGCGUGACUAGCGAGAUGCAACCCACGUGUUGCCGCGUGGACGCGAGGCGAAUUCUAUCAGAAUUGGUUCGUUAAAAUGUCAACAUUAACUUGGAAACAAUGGGUGCAUGGACCAGUCAAAUUGAACAAAGAAAAGUUGCUAAGGUUGGAGACUAAUCAUAAAAAAAUCAAGUUAUCAAGUUAUCAGUUAUUUACCGUUAACAUAUGUAUCAAGUUAUCAGUAAUAUAUCACUCUGUUUGUAUUUAUUUUAUUUAUAAACUUAUAAUUAAUAUAAAUCAGAAUUUCCUACCCGGGAAGUUCCCGGGUGAUAA
This is a long non-coding RNA of Helianthus annuus (common sunflower), 678 nucleotides long. RefSeq lists it as uncharacterized. The transcript has 3 exons. NCBI's taxonomy places the organism in Eukaryota, Viridiplantae, Streptophyta, Magnoliopsida, Asterales, Asteraceae. The record is from RefSeq and is a predicted model, not a curated record.